RNAcentral lists this ribosomal RNA (375 nucleotides) under uncultured eukaryote. RNAcentral describes it as "partial 18S ribosomal RNA". It matches the Rfam family "Eukaryotic small subunit ribosomal RNA", at positions 592 to 976 of the family's 1831-position model. The record is from RNAcentral.
CAAUAGCGUAUAUUUAAGUUGUUGCAGUUAAAAAGCUCGUAGUUGGAUUUCGGUUAAGAGCGACCGGUCCGCCGUUUGGUGUGCACUGGUUGGUUUUAACUUCCUGUAGAGGACGUGCUCUGGGUUUAACGACCUGGACUCGGAGUCUACGUGGUUACUUUGAAAAAAUUAGAGUGUUCAAAGCGGGCUUACGCUUGAAUAUUUCAGCAUGGAAUAACACUAUAGGACUCCUGUCCUAUUUCGUUGGUCUCGGGACGGGAGUAAUGAUUAAGAGGAACAGUUGGGGGCAUUCGUAUUUCAUUGUCAGAGGUGAAAUUCUUGGAUUUAUGAAAGACGAACUUCUGCGAAAGUAUUUGCCAAGGAUGUUUUCAUUAA